Agelaius phoeniceus (red-winged blackbird) is the source of this 648-nucleotide non-coding RNA. NCBI's taxonomy places the organism in Eukaryota, Metazoa, Chordata, Aves, Passeriformes, Icteridae. The record is from RefSeq and is a predicted model, not a curated record.
CGGAAACUCCCGAUUAAAACCGAGGGACGCGCGGAAACAACCGGAAACACCCGAUUGGCGGAGCGUGGAGCUAAAAAACCAUCAAGAGAAUUAAUUAAUCGCUCCGAACCCUUCAGAGCGGUGCCGGGAGUUGCCGAACGAAUUCGGGUGUGGAACUCCCAAAAAAGACUCCCCCAAAUCCUCCCCGGGAAUUCCCCUCACGGCCUCACCCGCCAGGGGGCGCCCCACGGCCCUCGCGCCUUUCCCGCCUUUUCUCCUCCCUCAGCGCUCACGCCCCGCCCCUUUUCCCGGCAUGCCCUGCGCGGUAUUUAAGCUGCCGCGAGGGAGCAAGGCGGCCAUUUUGUCCCAGCAGCGGUAGGAGAAGUGCUUCUACCCGCGAAAUGCUGCUUUUGCCUGAGGCACGAGCCGUGAGCGCUCAGCUUUUGCAUCAUGGAAUCCUCAUCCGCGGGUUCCCCAUGGUCCCUGCCCAGCGUUAAGAACUGGAAGAGACCUCGGGCCACCAUGAAGUGAACACGGAGCCCCCCCUAAGGUCAGAGCCCCCCUAAAUCCCCCCACAUUUAAAGCAAUGACCAUUAGGCCCCACAAUUGAUAAAAUAAUUAAAAUUUAAUUAAAUAACAACCAAUAAUUUAUAUUUUACAGCGGGAUAU